UCAAACUUGGUCAUUUAGAGGAAGUAAAAGUCGUAACAAGGUCUCCGUAGGUGAACCUGCGGAGGGAUCAUUACACAAAUAAACAUGGAAAGGCUGCCCGCGGCCGGUGUUUCCCCUUCUCGGGAGGCGCCAGUUGGCGGACGCUGGACUAUUUUAUUACCCUUGUCUUUUGCGCACUUGUUGUUUCCUGGGCGGGUUCGCCCGCCACCAGGACCACACUAUAAACCUUUUGUAUGCAGUUGCAAUCAGCGUCAGUACAACAAAUGUAAAAUCAUUUACAACUUUCAACAACGGAUCUCUUGGUUCUGGCAUCGAUGAAGAACGCAGC
Molecule: unclassified non-coding RNA, 328 nt
Filed under: uncultured fungus
Lineage: Eukaryota; Fungi
Description: partial contains small subunit ribosomal RNA, internal transcribed spacer 1, and 5.8S ribosomal RNA
Rfam family: Eukaryotic small subunit ribosomal RNA (bases 1-73)
Source: RNAcentral